RNAcentral lists this ribosomal RNA (1802 nucleotides) under Pinus taeda (loblolly pine). RNAcentral describes it as "SSU rRNA". It matches the Rfam family "Eukaryotic small subunit ribosomal RNA". The record is from RNAcentral. Lineage: Eukaryota; Viridiplantae; Streptophyta; Pinopsida; Pinales; Pinaceae.
CCUGGUUCAUCCUACCAGGAGUCAUAUGCUGGUCUCAAAGAUUAAGCCAUGCAUGUCUAAGUAUGAACUAAUUCAGACUGUGAAACUGCAGAUUGCUCAUUAAAUUAGUUAUUGUUUUUUUUAUGGUACCAUACUACUCGGAUAACCGUAGUAAUUCUAGAGCUAAUACAUGCACCAAGUCCCGACUCUUUGGAAGGGAUGCAUUUUUUAGAUAAAAGGCUGGUGCGGGCUUGCCCGCUUCUCUAGUGAAUCAUGAUAACUCGACAGAUCACACAACCCUUGUGCUGGCAAUGCUUCAUUCAAAUUUCUGCCCUAUCAAAUUUCGAUGGUAGGAUAGAGGCCUACCAUGGUGGUGAUGGGUGACAGAGAAUUAGGGUUCGAUUUUGGAGAGGGAACCUGAGAAAUGGGUACCACAUCCAAGGAAGGCAGCAGACGUGAAAAUUACCCAAUCCUAACAUGGGGAGGUAGUGACAAUAAAUAACAAUACUGGGUUCAUCGAGUCUGGUAAUUGGAAUGAGUACAAUCUAAAUCCCUUAACGAGGAUCUAUUGGAGGGCAAGUCUGGUGCCAACAACCAUGGUAAUUCCAGCUCCAAUAGCAUAUAUUUAAGUUGUUGCAGUUAAAAAGCUCGUAGUUGGAUCUUGGGUAGUAAAGGUCGUUCCGCCUACUCGGUGUGCACCUGCCCUUCCAUCCCUCUUGUUGUCGGUGUGCUCUUGGCCUUAAUUGGCUGGGUCAAAGCUCCGACACUGUUACUUUGAAAAAUUAGAGUGCUCAAAGAAAGCUUAUGCUCUGAAUACAUUAGCAUGGAAUAACGUGAUAGGAGUUUGGUCCUAUUGUGUUGGCCUUCGGGACUGGAGUAAUGAUUAAUAGGGACUAUCAGGGGCAUUUGUAUUUCAUUGUCAAAGGUGAAAUUCUUGGAUUUAUGAAAGACGGACCAUUGUGAAAGCAUUUUCCAAGGAUGUUUUCAUUAAUCAAUAAUGAAAGUUGGGGGCUCGAAGACGAUCAAAUACGAUCCUAGUCUCAACCAUAAACGAUGCUGACCAGGGAUUGGCAGAUGUUGUUCUAAGGACUCCGCCAACACCUUUUAAGAAAUCAGAGUGUUUGGGUUCCGGGGGGAGUAUGGUCGCAAGGCUGAAACUUAAAGGAAUUGACAAAAGGGUAACACCAGGAGUGGAGCCUGUAGCUUAAUUUGACUCAACACGGGGAAACUUACCAGGUCCAUACAUAGUAAGGAUUGAUAGAUUGAGAGGUCUUUCUUGAUUCUAUAGGUGGUGGUGCAUGGUCAUUCUUAGUUGGUGGAGUGAUUUGUCUGGUUAAUUCCGAUAACGAACGAGACCUCAGCGUGCUAACUAGCUACACGAAGGUUCCCCUUCCCAGCCAGCUUCUUAGAGGGACUAUGGCCAUUUAGGCCAUGGAAAUUUGAGGCAAUAAUAGGUCUGUGAUGCCCUUAGAUGUUCUAGGCCUCACGCGCACUACACUGAUGCAGCCAACGAGUUUUUCUUCCUAGUUCGAGAGGAUCCAGAAAUAUUCUCAAAUUGCAUCAUGAUGGGAAUAGACCAUUGCAAUUAUUGGUCUUCAACGAGGAAUUCCUAGUAAGCGUGUGUCAUCAACUCGUGUUGACUAUGUCCCUACCCUCUGUACACAUCGCCCGCCGCUCCUACCGAUUGAAUGAUCCGAUGAAGUGUUCGGAUUGCGUCGACGAUGGUGGUUCACCACUGUUGAUGUCGUGAGAAGUUCAUUGAACCUUAUCAUUUAGAGGAAGGAGAAGUCGUAACAAGGUUACCGUAGGUGAACCUAUGGUAG